This 468-nucleotide ribosomal RNA is filed under the name uncultured bacterium. RNAcentral's name for it is "partial 16S ribosomal RNA". It matches the Rfam family "Bacterial small subunit ribosomal RNA", at positions 28 to 507 of the family's 1533-position model. The record is from RNAcentral.
GACGAACGCUGGCGGCGUGCUUAACACAUGCAAGUCGAACGGAAAGGCCCUGCUUUUGUGGGGUGCUCGAGUGGCGAACGGGUGAGUAACACGUGAGUAACCUGCCCUUGACUUUUGGAUAACUUCAGGAAACUGGGGCUAAUACCGGAUAGGAGCUCCUGCUGCAUGGUGGGGGUUGGAAAGUUUCGGCGGUUGGGGAUGGACUCGCGGCUUAUCAGCUUGUUGGUGGGGUAGUGGCUUACCAAGGCUUUGACGGGUAGCCGGCCUGAGAGGGUGACCGGCCACAUUGGGACUGAGAUACGGCCCAGACUCCUACGGGAGGCAGCAGUGGGGAAUAUUGCACAAUGGGCGGAAGCCUGAUGCAGCAACGCCGCGUGCGGGAUGACGGCCUUCGGGUUGUAAACCGCUUUCGCCUGUGACGAGGCGUGAGUGACGGUAAUGGGUAAAGAAGCACCGGCUAACUACGUG